UGGCAAGCGUUAUCCGGAAUUAUUGGGCGUAAAGCGUCCGCAGGCGGUUUUACAAGUCUGUCGUUAAAGCGUGGAGCUCAACUCCAUUUCAGCGAUGGAAACUGUAAGACUCGAGUGUGGUAGGGGCAGAGGGAAUUCCCGGUGUAGCGGUGAAAUGCGUAGAUAUCGGGAAGAACACCAGUGGCGAAAGCGCUCUGCUGGGCCAUAACUGACGCUCAUGGACGAAAGCCAGGGGAGCGAAAGGGAUUAGAUACCCCUGUAGUCCUGGCCGUAAACGAUGAACACUAGGUGUCGGGGGAAUCGACCCCUCCGGUGUCGUAGCCAACGCGUUAAGUGUUCCGCCUGGGGAGUACCGCCACCGCCAAGUGUGAAAACUCAAAAGGAAUUUGACGGGGGGCCCCGCACAAGCCGGUGGGAGUAUGUGGGUUUAAAUUCGAUGCAAACGCGAAAGAAACCUUACCAGGG
This 465-nucleotide ribosomal RNA is filed under the name uncultured cyanobacterium. Its description in RNAcentral is "bacterial SSU rRNA". It matches the Rfam family "Bacterial small subunit ribosomal RNA", at positions 532 to 979 of the family's 1533-position model. The record is from RNAcentral. Lineage: Bacteria; Bacillati; Cyanobacteriota.